GGAUAUGUGCCCGAAAGCUAGGAUUUACCUUGAUAAGGUAAAAAUAGGGGUUCAAACCCCCUCAUCUCCU
This 70-nucleotide transfer RNA is filed under the name Aneides hardii (Sacramento mountain salamander). Its description in RNAcentral is "tRNA-Ile". It matches the Rfam family "tRNA". Rfam says of the family: Transfer RNA (tRNA) molecules are approximately 80 nucleotides in length. Their secondary structure includes four short double-helical elements and three loops (D, anti-codon, and T loops). Further hydrogen bonds mediate the characteristic L-shaped molecular structure. tRNAs have two regions of fundamental functional importance: the anti-codon, which is responsible for specific mRNA codon recognition, and the 3' end, to which the tRNAs corresponding amino acid is attached (by aminoacyl-tRNA synthetases). tRNAs cope with the degeneracy of the genetic code in two manners: having more than one tRNA (with a specific anti-codon) for a particular amino acid; and 'wobble' base-pairing, i.e. permitting non-standard base-pairing at the 3rd anti-codon position. The record is from RNAcentral. Lineage: Eukaryota; Metazoa; Chordata; Amphibia; Caudata; Plethodontidae.